ACUCCUACGGGAGGCAGCAGUAGGGAAUCUUCCACAAUGGGCGCAAGCCUGAUGGAGCAACACCGCGUGAGUGAAGAAGGGUUUCGGCUCGUAAAGCUCUGUUGUUAAAGAAGAACACGUAUGAGAGUAACUGUUCAUACGUUGACGGUAUUUAACCAGAAAGUCACGGCUAACUACGUUGCCAGCAGCCGCGGUAAUACGUAGGUGGCAAGCGUUAUCCGGAUUUAUUGGGGCGUAAAGAGAGUGCAGGCGGUUUUUCUAAGUCUGAUGUGAAAGCCUUCGGCUUAACCGGAGAAGUGCAUCGGAAACUGGAUAACUUGAGUGCAGAAGAGGGUAGUGGAACUCCAUGUGUAGCGGUGGAAUGCGUAGAUAUAUGGAAGAACACCAGUGGCGAAGGCGGCUACCUGGUCUGCAACUGACGCUGAGACUCGAAAGCAUGGGUAGCGAACAGGAUUAGAUA
RNAcentral lists this ribosomal RNA (460 nucleotides) under uncultured bacterium. RNAcentral's name for it is "bacterial SSU rRNA". It matches the Rfam family "Bacterial small subunit ribosomal RNA", at positions 335 to 784 of the family's 1533-position model. The record is from RNAcentral.